GAUGAACGCUGGCGGCGUGCCUAAUACAUGCAAGUCGAGCGAACAGACGAGGAGCUUGCUCCUCUGACGUUAGCGGCGGACGGGUGAGUAACACGUGGAUAACCUACCUAUAAGACUGGGAUAACUUCGGGAAACCGGAGCUAAUACCGGAUAAUAUAUUGAACCGCAUGGUUCAAUAGUGAAAGACGGUUUUGCUGUCACUUAUAGAUGGAUCCGCGCCGCAUUAGCUAGUUGGUAAGGUAACGGCUUACCAAGGCAACGAUGCGUAGCCGACCUGAGAGGGUGAUCGGCAACACUGGAACUGAGACACGGUCCAGACUCCUACGGGAGGCAGCAGUAGGGAAUCUUCCGCAAUGGGCGAAAGCGUGACGGAGCAACGCCGCGUGAGUGAUGAAGGUCUUCGGAUCGUAAAACUCUGUUAUUAGGGAAGAACAAAUGUGUAAGUAACUAUGCACGUCUUGACGGUACCUAAUCAGAAAGCCACGGCUAACUACGUG
Molecule: ribosomal RNA, 497 nt
Filed under: uncultured bacterium
Lineage: Bacteria
Description: partial 16S ribosomal RNA
Rfam family: Bacterial small subunit ribosomal RNA
Source: RNAcentral